This 915-nucleotide ribosomal RNA is filed under the name Triticum aestivum (bread wheat). RNAcentral's name for it is "partial small subunit ribosomal RNA". Lineage: Eukaryota; Viridiplantae; Streptophyta; Magnoliopsida; Poales; Poaceae. The record is from RNAcentral.
AUGAACGAUGGUCACCGCCAUGCCCUUUGGCUUUGGCGCCGGUACCGAGGGGACGGCGGUGGCUGUAUCAUCACUUCCUUGUCCAGCUACUAUGUCUUGGCAGAUUGCCUCCUCCUUGGCCACUACCUCAGCUUUGUCGGCAGCACAAUGACACUGGUUCGGUGGCGAUGGUUGCCUUUUCCUUGGUUCUGGUGCACAAGAAACCGUGUGUUGUGUGCGUCCAACAUCACCAGCGAGUGUGUUGGCAUGCGCAAGCCCUCACUCGACACCUCCCUCCCGCCCCUCCGGUGUAUGCUUCUUCAACUCUGGCAUAGUAUGACUGGAAUGGUAGAAAACUUGUUUCCAGGGCAUGGCUCACCUCUUGGGUCCAGGCCUUUUUUCUCUAUUGGCUUAUGCAUUGCAUGGGUGUGCUGUAUUGCAAAGGAGCUGGCCGUGCAGGGGCAUGGGAUCCCGGUGACAGUGGCCAACACCACCUACAUGGGCAUGGAGGCGCUCCAUGCCGUCGGUGGCCUUGGCAAGCUGCCCGUGUACCAGUAUCUCAUGGAGGUCUAUAUUGGCGUUGCCAUGCCUGACAUCACUCAAGUAUUCCGGCAACCAGAAUCUUGUGUUUGUGAUGAUCUUGAAGUUCAAAUUUGUCCCUGUGCUGGAUUUUAUAAGGACAUAUUAGGUACUAUACAUGGGUUUGAUGUUCCGCUGGCAUUUACCCAGUGCAGUGCUUUGCAUGUUGAUGCCAAGCUAGCAUGUAUGUGCACAGGAGACCACGAGUUGUGUGCGCCCAACAUCACCAGCGAGUCCGAUGGCAUGCGCAAGCCCUCACUCCGGCGCGUUACUCCCGCCCCUUUGGCGUUCUUCGACUACGGCAUAGGAGGAGAGGACUACUCAUCAAAGCACGCAAGUUGGUUUGAAAGUGUCUAA